RNAcentral lists this ribosomal RNA (158 nucleotides) under uncultured bacterium. RNAcentral's name for it is "partial 16S ribosomal RNA". It matches the Rfam family "Bacterial small subunit ribosomal RNA", at positions 374 to 525 of the family's 1533-position model. The record is from RNAcentral.
GGCGAAGCCUGAUCCAGCCAUGCCGCGUGUGUGAAGAAGGUCUUCGGAUUGUAAAGCACUUUAAGUUGGGAGGAAGGGCAUUAACCUAAUACGUUAGUGUUUUGACGUUACCGACAGAAUAAGCACCGGCUAACUCUGUGCCAGCAGCCGCGGUAAAA